RNAcentral lists this long non-coding RNA (458 nucleotides) under Theobroma cacao (cacao). RNAcentral's name for it is "long non-coding RNA (TCAC_LNC004014)". The record is from RNAcentral. Lineage: Eukaryota; Viridiplantae; Streptophyta; Magnoliopsida; Malvales; Malvaceae.
UCUAUAUACACAGGUGUUGGUUUAAUUAAAGAAGAAAGGAAAAACCAAUUUCUAACUAACUACUAAUUGUUAAACUAAUUGUCAAAACACAGACAAAUCGAGUGUGCUUUGAUCGUCUUUACACAUGCUAUAAGUGAAACGGUGUGUUUUGCUCUUCUAUGCCAAGCCUUAUUGAAUCGGUGAGUAUUGGACCCUUUUCCAGAUUUCUUCUUUCCAAUCGAGUCCUCUGGCUUAGUUCUUCAUUCUCCAUUUGUGCUUCUCAAUUCUGGAAACACUGACUUGUUUCUUUGUUGAUUUGAAUAGUGUCUGAUAGUUUGUUUGGAGGCGUAUGCUCUUGGUUGCAAGCCAAUUUGGUUAUAUUUUCCUUUGCUUUGUCGAGUGCAUUUACGUAAGGCCUCAGAAGUCAGACCUACUUCAAUUUCUAUGAAUCAAGUUUAUGCCUAUUGUAUUCGGGCUUC